Molecule: ribosomal RNA, 253 nt
Filed under: uncultured bacterium
Lineage: Bacteria
Description: partial 16S ribosomal RNA
Rfam family: Bacterial small subunit ribosomal RNA
Source: RNAcentral
UACGUAGGGUCCGAGCGUUGUCCGGAAUUAUUGGGCGUAAAGAGCUCGUAGGCGGUUUGUCGCGUCUGCUGUGAAAUCCCGAGGCUCAACCUCGGGCCUGCAGUGGGUACGGGCAGACUGGAGUGCGGUAGGGGAGAAUGGAAUUCCUGGUGUAGCGGUGGAAUGCGCAGAUAUCAGGAGGAACACCGAUGGCGAAGGCAGUUCUCUGGGCCGUAACUGACGCUGAGGAGCGAAAGCAUGGGGAGCGAACAGG